Molecule: ribosomal RNA, 163 nt
Filed under: uncultured archaeon
Lineage: Archaea
Description: partial 16S ribosomal RNA
Rfam family: Archaeal small subunit ribosomal RNA
Source: RNAcentral
GCCCUUACGGGGCGCAGCAGGCGCGAAACCUCCGCAAUGUGAGAAAUCGCGACGGGGGGAUCCCAAGUGCUAUUCUUAACGGGGUAGCUUUUCUUAAGUGUAAAGAGCUUUUGGAAUAAGAGCUGGGCAAGACCGGUGCCAGCCGCCGCGGUAAUACAAGGGC